CUCAGACUGAAGUUGUCUUCCUAUUGGCUGUAACUGCAGCUUGGUGGGUUCAUUGGUGUGAUUCAUUUCUCCUAAAUUUAGCUGCCUAAAUAGUAGGCAUCUCAUCUGAACCAGUCAUCAAGCUUAGCCUCAAAAUUAGUCAUCAGAGAUAAGCAGCUCAACAGGUCAGUCUGACCUGUGCUGUGUUAGGGAGGGUUCUAGCAGAGACUGGGAGUUCCACCUCAGGCCUUGGGGACUUUCAACUCUGCUUCUCUGCUGCGUUUGCAUCAGCAUAUCCAUCCCUUCUUUCUCUAUAUAGUGGACCAAAUGACAAAUACAGCUGCUGUGCACUUGUGGUACUGAGGACAUGUCCUAUCUGAGGGGGAAAAAAUGUGAAGAAAUUUUC
This 385-nucleotide long non-coding RNA is filed under the name Phasianus colchicus (ring-necked pheasant). Its description in RNAcentral is "lncRNA (ENSPCLG00000022320.1)". Lineage: Eukaryota; Metazoa; Chordata; Aves; Galliformes; Phasianidae. The record is from RNAcentral.